UACGAAGGGGGCUAGCGUUGCUCGGAAUCACUGGGCGUAAAGCGCACGUAGGCGGCUUUCUAAGUCAGGGGGGAAAUCCUGGAGCUCAACUCCAGAACUGCCUUUGAUACUGGAGAGCUUGAGUCCGGGAGAGGUGAGUGGAACUCCGAGUGUAGAGGUGAAAUUCGUAGAUAUUCGGAAGAACACCAGUGGCGAAGGCGGCUCACUGGCCCGGUACUGACGCUGAGGUGCGAAAGCGUGGGGAGCAAACAGG
RNAcentral lists this ribosomal RNA (253 nucleotides) under uncultured bacterium. Its description in RNAcentral is "partial 16S ribosomal RNA". It matches the Rfam family "Bacterial small subunit ribosomal RNA", at positions 524 to 776 of the family's 1533-position model. The record is from RNAcentral.